RNAcentral lists this non-coding RNA (211 nucleotides) under Candidatus Sulfopaludibacter sp. SbA3. RNAcentral describes it as "6S". It matches the Rfam family "6S / SsrS RNA". Rfam says of the family: E. coli 6S RNA was the first non coding RNA to be sequenced, but its function was unknown until recently. It consists of 184 nucleotides that fold into an extended hairpin structure with a large single-stranded internal bulge. The record is from RNAcentral. Lineage: Bacteria; Pseudomonadati; Acidobacteriota; Terriglobia; Bryobacterales; Solibacteraceae.
GCGCGUCUGCGAUGCAGGUGCUGGUCCACCUAUUUUGAUCCAACAUUAUCAAAAUAGGGAGUCCGACUCGAUCACAAUGCGCUGGUGUGCAAGCUCCUGGCUAGGCGCCUCAUGGUCUUGCAAGGGAGAAGCCUAAAGGCGCUCGGUGGACGCCCACCCCGUUUACAAACGUGGGUCAAUCACGGGGGUCGGCACGGCCGAGUGGUGCGCU